AGAGACUUUCGUUCCACGGUGGCUUUCCACCGUCCAGUGGUACCUCUGUAGCUGCCCUGACUCACUGUGCCAUCAAAAAUCUCCUUCAAUCAAACCAGCCUCUGAAUGCACUCGACAAGGUCCUGCAUGUUGAAGCCUGCAAUCUGCAAAUCUGCACCAUCUUUCUAAAGCUGCCUGCUGCUUACAUUUUGAGAGGAGGAUGAGGUUAAUUAUCGGAGGUGGAAAAUAAAUAUCACAGAGCAGCUGGACAUGGGGGAGCUUGCAGCGUCAGCAAAUCAUGGACACUCACCCUGCUACCCAGAGAGAAAAGGGACCCCUGGAGACUUGAGCAAAAGAAAAAUGCUGGUACAUUUUUACCCCAGGAGGCACAGCCACCCCAGAGCCACACAGCAAUGGAUACUUAAGAAUAAGACACAAGAAGGUAGCCACCUGCAAACCAAAAGGAGAGUCCUUUCCAGACCCUGGAUCUGCUGGCACCCAGAUCUUGGACUUCCAGCCUCCAGAACCAUGAGAAAUUGAAGAUCAUUGCUUUAGCCACUCAGUGUAUGCUGUUUUAUUAUAGAAUCCCAAGUGGACAGAGGCAGGGAGGAAUAUUAUCCUGUUUCUCCAAUGGUUGUCAUUAAAGACCCAUCAAGCCUGCUGUGUGCCUCAGAGCCAGAUUCCAAAAUGCCCUCAAGUUGACUUCAAGUUUUCUGCCCACAGCUCUGUAGCCAAUUUGGGGCACGUGUACCGUCCACACCAUUCCAUGCCCUGGAAGUUGGCAUGGAAAACAAAAAUUGCAUAAUCUCCCUCAUACGUGGAAUCUAAAAAAGUCAAACUCAUAGAAAUAGAGAGUAGAAUGGUGGGUGCCAGAGGAUGGGGGCAUGCAGUGUAUGUUGGUCAAAGGGUACAAAGUUUCAGUUAGACAGGAAGGAUAAGUUCUGGUGAUCUAUUGCAUAACAAGGCUGUACAGGAGGCAUGGCUGGGGAGGCCUCAGGAAACAUACAAUCAUGACAGAAGAUGAAGGGGAAGCAAGCAUAUCUUACCAUGGUGAUGGAGGAGAGAAAGAAGGAGUGAGUGGGGAGAUGCCACACACUUUUAAACCAUCAGAUCUCAUGAGAACUCCCUGACUAUCACAAGAGGAGCAAGAAGGAAGUCCACUCCCACGAUUUAAUCACCUCUCACCAGGCCCCUCCUCCAACACUGGGGAUUACAAUUUGACAUGAUAUUUGGGUGGAGACACAGAGCCAAACCAUAUCAGUGACUGUAGUUAAUAAUAUAUCGUAUAUUUUUAAAUUGCUCUAAAAAUUGAAUUUCAAAUGUUCUCACCAUAAAGACAUGACAAAUAUGUGAAGUGAUGAUUAUUUUAAUUAGCCUGAUUUGUUAAUGCCACAAUGUAUAAAUGUAUAAAAAUCACGUUUUAACCCAUAAAUACAUGUAAUUGUUAUUUGUCAAUUAAAAAUAAAAAUAAAUUGAAAACUAAAAAUAGUAAAGGGAGUUCCCUCCAUGAAGGAUCAAUGAGUACAUGCCAUAGAUUUAAUUUUGACAGCAAGAAACAAGAAGGUUGCAACAGUCCAAACAUUGUGUGAUAAAUGGUUGCUCUUAAAAAUAUUUUUAUAGUUUGCCUCAAUAAGCUAAGACAUAAGUUAUAAUCUAUUAGGUAGGAGUAUAUUCAUUCAGUGGCUUACUGUUAUACUCAUAAACAGCUUCAUCCUACUUACCCAAGGUUAGUUUUCAUGAAGACUGAUCAUCUGAAUAAAUUUGGUUGCAAAUACUAAUUAUUGAAAUUAAUGGAUACCUACUGUGGAUGUCUAUUGUUCUAAGUAUUCAACACAUAUUCAAGUGGGUUUCAUCAAUGACUAAAGCAAGGCUCUAUUAACCUAUUUACAACCAAGAUGGCAGCCCAGUGUGAGACUCAUGAUGGUGGCCCACUGUGAGACUUCUCUCCCCAGCCUCUGGUAACCAUCAUUCUACACUGUAUCUCCGUGAGAUCCACUUUUUUGAGUUCCCACACAGGAGUGAGAAUAUGCACUGUCUUCCAGUGGCUGGCUUACUUCACUUAACAUCAUGACCUCCAGUUUCAUCUAUGUUUGAACAGUUUUAAUCAACAUGAAAUUCACAAGAAAGCAAAAGAGUGGAAACAGGACUGCAGUCAAUUGCCUUGAUCAGAACCUGAUCAAGAACUAGUCACCACUUUGGAAAACACCAUCUAUGGAAAUCCUCCUGCUGCUAUUUGAGUUGCCAACACAACACACCAGUGUUGGCAGUUCUGGUAUCUAUCUCAAUGAUUACAUCUAGAGCAA
Long non-coding RNA from Homo sapiens (human), 2282 nucleotides. Ensembl annotates it as long intergenic non-protein coding RNA 1546. The record is from Ensembl. Lineage: Eukaryota; Metazoa; Chordata; Mammalia; Primates; Hominidae.